UGAAAUUGCGAUUGAGGUUGU
RNAcentral lists this microRNA (21 nucleotides) under Pristionchus pacificus. RNAcentral's name for it is "ppc-miR-8363-5p". Lineage: Eukaryota; Metazoa; Nematoda; Chromadorea; Rhabditida; Neodiplogasteridae. The record is from miRBase by way of RNAcentral.